This 490-nucleotide ribosomal RNA is filed under the name uncultured bacterium. Its description in RNAcentral is "partial 16S ribosomal RNA". It matches the Rfam family "Bacterial small subunit ribosomal RNA", at positions 30 to 507 of the family's 1533-position model. The record is from RNAcentral.
AUUGAACGCUGGCGGCAGGCCUAACACAUGCAAGUCGAACGGUAACAGGAAGAAGCUUGCUUCUUUGCUGACGAGUGGCGGACGGGUGAGUAAUGUCUGGGAAACUGCCUGAUGGAGGGGGAUAACUACUGGAAACGGUAGCUAAUACCGCAUAACGUCGCAAGCCCAAAGAGGGGGACCUUCGGGCCUCUUGCCAUUGGAUGUGCCCAGAUGGGAUUAGCUAGUAGGUGGGGUAACGGCUCACCUAGGCGACGAUCCAUAGCUGGUCUGAGAGGAUGACCAGCCACACUGGAACUGAGACACGGUCCAGACUCCUACGGGAGGCAGCAGUAGGGAAUAUUGCACAAUGGGCGCAAGCCUGAUGCAGCCAUGCCGCGUGUAUGAAGAAGGCCUUCGGGUUGUAAAGUACUUUCAGCGGGGAGGAAGGGAGUAAAGUUAAUACCUUUGCUCAUUGACGUUACCCGCAGAAGAAGCACCGGCUAACUCCGUG